GACAGAGGUGCCGAGCGUUAGGCGGAAUCACUGGGCUUAAAGCGUGUGUAGGCGGGCGGGCAAGUACCUUGUGAAAUCCCACGGCUCAACCGUGGAACGGCUGGGUAUACUGCCUGUCUUGAGCCAACUAGGGGCGAGCGGAACAGACGGUGGAGCGGUGAAAUGCGUAGAUAUCGUCUGGAACGCCAAAGGUGAAAACAGCUCGCUGGGGUUGUGCUGACGCUGAGACACGAAAGCCAGGGGAGCGAACAGG
RNAcentral lists this ribosomal RNA (253 nucleotides) under uncultured bacterium. RNAcentral's name for it is "partial 16S ribosomal RNA". It matches the Rfam family "Bacterial small subunit ribosomal RNA", at positions 524 to 776 of the family's 1533-position model. The record is from RNAcentral.